GGUUGUGGCUCAGCGGUAGAGCGCUCGCCUAGCACUUACGAGGCCCUGGGUUUGAUCCUCAGCACCA
RNAcentral lists this transfer RNA (67 nucleotides) under Marmota monax (woodchuck). Its description in RNAcentral is "tRNA.Ala". Lineage: Eukaryota; Metazoa; Chordata; Mammalia; Rodentia; Sciuridae. The record is from RNAcentral.